GCUGUAUAUGUGAGUUGAUUUGUUUUCCCAGAUCAGUGGAUGGCCUUAGGUACCAUGUUGUUAUUCUACUUUUUGGUGUCCUCUGAGGACGGUAGGAGCAUCAUAGAAUGUUACAGAUGGGAGCUGUCUAUGGGAUCAGAUGAACCAAUGCUUUUAAAAAACACAAUGUGUAACUGUAAAGCUCCAAUUUCAAAUGAAAUCCUCAACGUAUAAAACAGAUAAAAGCAGAGCUACUCUGGUUGAUGGAGGCUCUGAAUUUCCUCGUACCGCCCAGGUGGCGCCGGGGCUCCACAGCCUCUGAUUUCCUCUAGAUGAGGGAACUGAGACUUGGAGAUCAAAUCAGUUGCCCAGCACUUUGGUGGAAGAAUGAGCUGUCAUUGCUUUGAAGCUUUGACAUCACUAGAGGAGAUGUGUGUGGAGACCGCUGGUAGUAAAGCCCAAACAGAGCACAAGGACACCACUGCUUCACCCUGUGGCCUUGCAGGUUGGGUUCUCUGGAGGCCAACAUGGAGCUGGACUUGGCCAUGAAGGAUGUUUACUAGAGAUUAAGCCUGUAGAAAUGAGGAGGAGGAUGCAGGAUUAUAUAGAGGAAAAUGUCAAACUGCCAAACAGGCCCGACAAAGCCUCCGUCAACCCCACAGGGAAGCUCUGGAGCAUAAAUGGCCAUAUUGGUGACCUGUAUUGGACUUAAUGGCUGGACCCUUGAACCCCCAUCAACCAUUGAAUGUGGGUCACCCUGGGAAGGACAUACUCUUGGGUGAAGUGGCUUUCUGCAGCUGAGGCAAAUCCUAAAAGAGCUGACAGCUGGAGGCUGACUGCCCACAGCUGGGGCAAGAAGACCUCCCUUGAAGAAAGAUCUAGAAAGCACACCUCCACGUCCAGUACCCAUGGCCACUAGUGUUCUGGUGAACACAAGAGAUAGUGGAGAGGCAGGCGGUGGCAGCAGCUUUCCCAGCUGUCUGCCAGGCCACUUCAGACUGCUCAUUAGAGUCCCAACUCCAUAGUACUGGGUAUGAUGCUUGCUGAAUAAAUGUUUUGACAAAUAGACCAGUCCUUAAGAUAGCUUCUCCUUUGUGUUUUAAGAUGGAAUUCAUUUCCAUCUCUGUUUCACCAAGUUUCACAUUCGGGGCUUCCCUGGUGGCGCCGUGGUUGAGAGUCCGCCUGCCGAUGCAGGGGACACGGGUUCGUUCCCCAGUCCGGGAAGAUCCCACAUGCCGCGGAGCGGCUGGGCCUGUGAGCCAUGGCCGCUGAGCCUGCGUGUCCAGAGCCUGCGCUCCGCAACGGGAGAGGCCACAACAGUGAGAGGCCCGCGUACUGC
This 1318-nucleotide long non-coding RNA is filed under the name Phocoena sinus (vaquita). Its description in RNAcentral is "lncRNA (ENSPSNG00000002793.1)". The record is from RNAcentral. Lineage: Eukaryota; Metazoa; Chordata; Mammalia; Artiodactyla; Phocoenidae.